Dermacentor andersoni is the source of this 2963-nucleotide long non-coding RNA. RefSeq lists it as uncharacterized. The record is from RefSeq and is a predicted model, not a curated record. NCBI's taxonomy places the organism in Eukaryota, Metazoa, Arthropoda, Arachnida, Ixodida, Ixodidae.
UCUUCUCAAAGCAGGUCAACGAAUAAACACUCUUUUUUUUUUGUAAUGGUGCAAAUGUUCACAAUCACGUUCUUUAUUUUCAGGUGGAGAAGCUUAAGUACAACAUUGACUCAUACGUGGAAAGCGGUCUCGUGUGCCCUCGGUCACGGAAAGAGUUUCAGACAUUUCUGCUAUCAUUGAGCAGCAAAGAGUUCCUGUUCACGGCUACCGGAUUUUUCGACUUGAAGCUGUCCCUUUUGUCGAAGCUUGCCGGCGCCGUGUUUAUACACACUACCAUCCUCAUCCAGAUGAUGCGCCUUGGUCGUGGCUGUGUUGGGACCGAGGUCCCUUCUGCAAAACAAGGCGAAGACGAAAUGGGCGAGCACGGGAGGAAUUACAUUGCAUCAUACUUCUACUAGAAAUUAUGUUUCUGCUGUAAAGCUGCAUGGAUAAACAAAAGCCGCCAUGUAAGAAAAUGCACGUACCUAAACAGAGUAACGCAUUGGUGGGAACGCGAAUAUGCCUACAUUCGUAACUCGCAUACUUGUCUCCCAAACGGGCGUUAAGAAACUGAGAAACGCUUUCAGAGAUCCGUAGUUGGGCAAAACUCGUAAUGCGUAUAGUGCGUUCGCUUCGCUUCGUCGUUUCCGUGUCCGCGCAUGCGCUAUCGAUAGCGGGACAGCUCGGCGGCGGAGUGAAUGGGCCGCUGGUGACCGUAGAAAUGCUAUCGCACUAAAAUGGCGCCACUUUCGCAAAAUGGUGCGCAGAAGCUUAAAAGAUGUAUAAUUGGUACGGUAAUAAAAUAUAUUACUACUCACUCACGAGGAAACAUCAGAAUGUCGUCUUUGUCCGUAUAAUUAUAUUCCUUGCUGUUCUUUCGAAAGCGCAUGCUUUGAUGCAACCAUCCUCCGAGCCAUCCUCACCAUUGGCGAACUGAACUGUGUGAAAUGAUCUAUAGUCGGCGACGGCCUCAAAAUGACAAACGAGUUCCACCUUCACAGUCCGCCUGUCCUCUACCUCUGGAAGAUAGCCGAGCGAGCUGGAGUCUGCUCUCCCAGCUUAAUGACCUUACUCUGCUAAUGGAAACAAUAGGCUUAUUGGAAAAUAAAGGCCAGUUGUUUCAAGCUAAAACGUUGCAGGUGGAUGAGAAGUGAUAUCAGAAUCGCUAAUGAAAUUCGCCCUAUAGACAUUUAGAUUUCAUUCUGAAACUGGUGCGACAAAGACCAGUCUUUACGGGGUGGAAGGGGGUUGUUAAAUAUGUAACACCGCUUGAAUGAACAUCAGAAUCACAAACAAAAUACGCCCUAGACAUUUAGAUUUUAUCCUGAAACCAGUGCUACCAAAGUGCUACCAGUCUGAACGGAGAAAACACUUGUUUUAAACAUGCAAAACCGCUUGAGCAAAUACGCAAAUCUGUUCGGCUGGCGCCACCACUGCACAAAUAUGGACAGUGGUGCUUUCACCUGAUUCCUGAUUUACCGUAACAAGUGAAGGAUUUUCAUUGGCAACCAGUGAGUCAUUUUACCUGCAAUAGACACACUUGAACGCUGAGAAGUGGUACUGAAUGAUGAAUGCGUGCUGUCAUGAGUCACGGGCAAGACCUGUAUGACAAUGUGCAAAAGACGAAGACGCCGGUCGACGAAACGGAGAAGGGACCCGCAGGCGUGAAGCACGUGAAACGCUACAGAAAAGAAGAAAUUCAGAAAAAGGAGAAGCAGGCGGAGAUGAGCUGGCACUGCCGACGUGGUCGAGAACCAAGACAGUGGCACCUCCAGCCGUGCUCUCGAGACGGGAGGCAGCAGCUUCGGGUACCACGGACCAGAGAGGGGACGUUCGUCAGUUGGCCAGCGACAACUCCAGCUCCUGAGCCUCGACUACGUCGGCGUGGCUGUGUUCCACGGCCCCGGUCCAACCUCACGCUGCCGUAACCGGUUGCUGUCCCGUGCCACGAAGACAAUCGCCUGGCCACGCAAGCGGCACAACGGUCGACGGGCCCAGACCGCGUCCUGUGUCACGCGGGUCUCUGCGGAAGACCACAACCUCAUCGCUGCCGUCGGAGGUCGACGCCCACGCUGCGUCGGAACCACGCAGGCCAACGUCCUUUGCCACGCUGGGCCGGAGUCCGACACUACUGGCGACGUUCGGAACGUUCGUUUGCUCGUGACGUAGCGUUGGUUAGUCGAGCGGAGGAACAAUACGUAGUUUAGGGCUUGUUUUUUUUAUGUGUAUAGUUAGUUUUUGGAGUGUCUCGCGUGUGUAUAGUGUUUAUAGUGUGUCAUGGUAGUUUGCCGUUUGUUUAACAUAUUUGAAUUGUGUCUCUGUCCAUUUCUGGAGCGCUGAAAUUCGUGACGCAUGCACUGUCCACAAAAAGAGAGCAACGCGCAUGUAGUAAAGGAGUGCGUUGUAACACGCACCUUCCGGAAGUUGGUUGCAAGAAUGUUUGGGGUAUCCAUCGCGCGGCCACCCGGCCGGCGAGAUUAGUUUGCAAGUCUCGUCUACUGCAGCGCUAACUACGUUUUGUGGUGCUUCCGCAACGUUGUAGAACGAUCUCGACAAUCAAACAAAGCAAUGUGCCCCAGACUGCAGAAUCUACGGGUGAUAGUACGGGGUCAUCUAGAAGAACACGGCGAAGCCGAGUUGCUUCGGCGCUGGUCUACGCGGUUCUUAACCGUCUCUCGGGGCAAAGUUUUCCUACAGCCAGUAUGAUGCCCAAAUUCUGUUUUUCAGAGUGAGACUCUGUACCUGUGUGUGCCCUGGGUAUCAAUAUUUUCAAGGCUUACAAUAAUGCCUUUGCAUAUACAUUGUAGCGUCUUUGAAGUGGAAGUGGCAUAAUCAGUGUCAAACAGACACCAUUUGCUGUUUUGUUUGCUCCCUCGUUUUGUUUAUCUCAAGUGCGAUUUAUUGCAGCUUCGCGAUAUGUUAUACUGUACUCAGUGUUCAUACCAUAGUUGUACGCGUGCCUACGGGUGAAUAAAUUUUCUUGU